UCAAUGGCUUCCCCUUGUUUUUCUCCUUUAAUGCUCCUUGAAUCCUCCUUAAUGGUGGAAUGGAUGGAUGAUGAACUUCUUGAUGAUGUUGAAUGAAAUGGUGAUGAAGAUAUUAUGCUUCUUUGGUAAAUUUUGAGUGGUAGUGAUGGAGUUUAUGGUGGUGGUGAUAGAGUUUAUGGUGGUGGAAUAUGGUAGUUGUGGUGGUGGUGAUGGAGGAGAUGGAGUAAGAAAGAAAAUGUAAUGGGGUGGAAUGGGUGAUGCCUUAAGAGUGUGAUGAAGGGGUACUUAUAUAGAG
Molecule: long non-coding RNA, 295 nt
Filed under: Rosa chinensis
Lineage: Eukaryota; Viridiplantae; Streptophyta; Magnoliopsida; Rosales; Rosaceae
Description: sRNA RchiOBHm_Chr4g0397071
Source: RNAcentral